UUGAUGUUCAGUGUAUCUAAUCUAUCACAUAUUUAAAUCUUCAGACAAGUUCAACGUGGCUCCUGCCCAAGGAUGACGUGCAAAUCUGUGAAGUGGUCUAUAUAUUU
This 107-nucleotide small nuclear RNA is filed under the name Echinops telfairi (small Madagascar hedgehog). The record is from RNAcentral. Lineage: Eukaryota; Metazoa; Chordata; Mammalia; Afrosoricida; Tenrecidae.